GAUGAACGCUAGCGGCAGGCUUAACACAUGCAAGUCGAGGGGCAACACGGGUAGCAAUACCUGGUGGCGACCGGCGCAAGGGUGCGUAACGCGUGAGCAACAUACCCUAUACAGGGGGAUAAUCCAGGGAAACUUGGUCUAAUAUCCCAUAGGAUUUACAGAUGUCAUCAUCUAUAAAUUAAAGCUUCGGUGGUAUAGGAUUGGCUCGCGUGACAUUAGCUAGAUGGUGGGGUAACGGCCUACCAUGGCCAUGAUGUCUAGGGGUUCUGAGAGGAAGACCCCCCAACUGGGACUGAGACACGGCCCAGACUCCUACGGGAGCAGCAGUGAGGAAUAUUGGACAAUGGAUGGAAAUCUGAUCCAGCCAUGCCGCGUGCAGGAAGACGGCCCUAUGGGUUGUAAACUGCUUUUAAUGGGAGCAAUAAGGUUUACGCGUAGACCGAUGAGAGUACCAUAUGAAUAAGCAUCGGCUAACUCCGU
RNAcentral lists this ribosomal RNA (480 nucleotides) under uncultured bacterium. Its description in RNAcentral is "bacterial SSU rRNA". It matches the Rfam family "Bacterial small subunit ribosomal RNA", at positions 28 to 506 of the family's 1533-position model. The record is from RNAcentral.